CCCCUAGAUGUUCUGGGCCGCACGCGCGCUACACUGAACAGUUCAACAAGUCUUAACCUUGGCCGAUAGGUCUGGGUAAUCUUUGAACGCUGUUCGUGAUUGGGAUAGACCUUUGCAAUUAUGGGUCUUCAGCGAGGAAUUCCUAGUAAACGCAAGUCAUCAGCUUGCAUUGAUUACGUCCCUGCCCUUUGUACACACCGCCCGUCGCACCUACCGAUUGAAUGGUCCGGUGAAAUCUCGGGACGGCGGCUUGGUCGCUUGCGUCCGACUGCUGAAACUUGAUUAAACCAUAUCAUUUAGAGGAAGGUGAANUCGUANCA
RNAcentral lists this ribosomal RNA (320 nucleotides) under uncultured eukaryote. RNAcentral's name for it is "partial 18S ribosomal RNA". It matches the Rfam family "Eukaryotic small subunit ribosomal RNA", at positions 1470 to 1796 of the family's 1831-position model. The record is from RNAcentral.